GGUUAAGCGACCAAGCGUACACGGUGGAUGCCCUGGCAGUCAGAGGCGAUGAAGGACGUGCUAAUCUGCGAAAAGCGCCGGUAAGGUGAUAUGAACCGUUAUAACCGGCGAUGUCCGAAUGGGGAAACCCAGUGUGACUCGUCACACUAUCAUUAACUGAAUCCAUAGGUUAAUGAGGCGAACCGGGGGAACUGAAACAUCUAAGUACCCCGAGGAAAAGAAAUCAACCGAGAUUCCCCCAGUAGCGGCGAGCGAACGGGGAGGAGCCCAGAGCCUGAAUCAGCAUAUGUGUUAGUGGAAGCGUCUGGAAAGGCGCGCGAUACAGGGUGACAGCCCCGUACACAAAAGCGCAUAUGCUGUGAGCUCGAUGAGUAGGGCGGGACACGUGGUAUCCUGUCUGAAUAUGGGGGGACCAUCCUCCAAGGCUAAAUACUCCUGACUGACCGAUAGUGAACCAGUACCGUGAGGGAAAGGCGAAAAGAACCCCGGCGAGGGGAGUGAAACAGAACCUGAAACCGUGUACGUACAAGCAGUGGGAGCAUGAGUUUACUCAUGUGACUGCGUACCUUUUGUAUAAUGGGUCAGCGACUUAUAUUCUGUAGCAAGGUUAACCGUAUAGGGGAGCCGCAGGGAAACCGAGUCUUAACCGGGCGUUAAGUUGCAGGGUAUAGACCCGAAACCCGGUGAUCUAGCCAUGGGCAGGUUGAAGGUUGGGUAACACUAACUGGAGGACCGAACCGACUAAUGUUGAAAAAUUAGCGGAUGACCUGUGGCUGGGGGUGAAAGGCCAAUCAAACCGGGAGAUAGCUGGUUCUCCCCGAAAGCUAUUUAGGUAGCGCCUCGUGAAUUCAUCUCCGGGGGUAGAGCACUGUUUCGGCCAGGGGGCCAUCCCGGCUUACCAACCCGAUGCAAACUGCGAAUACCGGAGAAUGUUAUCACGGGAGACACACGGCGGGUGCUAACGUCCGUCGUGAAGAGGGAAACAACCCAGACCGCCAGCUAAGGUCCCAAAGUCAUGGUUAAGUGGGAAACGAUGUGGGAAGGCCCAGACAGCCAGGAUGUUGGCUUAGAAGCAGCCAUCAUUUAAAGAAAGCGUAAUAGCUCACUGGUCGAGUCGGCCUGCGCGGAAGAUGUAACGGGGCUAAACCAUGCACCGAAGCUGCGGCAGCGACACUGUGUGUUGUUGGGUAGGGGAGCGUUCUGUAAGCCUGCGAAGGUGGCCUGUGAGGGUUGCUGGAGGUAUCAGAAGUGCGAAUGCUGACAUAAGUAACGAUAAUGCGGGUGAAAAACCCGCACGCCGGAAGACCAAGGGUUCCUGUCCAACGUUAAUCGGGGCAGGGUGAGUCGACCCCUAAGGCGAGGCCGAAAGGCGUAGUCGAUGGGAAACGGGUUAAUAUUCCCGUACCUGGUGUUACUGCGAAGGGGGGACGGAGAAGGCUAUGUUGGCCGGGCGACGGUUGUCCCGGUUUAAGCGUGUAGGCUGGUUUUCCAGGCAAAUCCGGAAAAUCAAGGCUGAGGCGUGACGACGAGGCACUACGGUGCUGAAGCAACAAAUGCCCUGCUUCCAGGAAAAGCCUCUAAGCCUCAGGUAACAUCAGAUCGUACCCGAAACCGACACAGGUGGUCAGGUAGAGAAUACCAAGGCGCUUGAGAGAACCCGGGUGAAGGAACUAGGCAAAAUGGUGCCGUAACUUCGGGAGAAGGCACGCUGACACGUAGGUGAAGUGAUUUACUCAUGGAGCUGAAGUCAGUCGAAGAUACCAGCUGGCUGCAACUGUUUAUUAAAAACACAGCACUGUGCAAACACGAAAGUGGACGUAUACGGUGUGACGCCUGCCCGGUGCCGGAAGGUUAAUUGAUGGGGUCAGCGCAAGCGAAGCUCCUGAUCGAAGCCCCGGUAAACGGCGGCCGUAACUAUAACGGUCCUAAGGUAGCGAAAUUCCUUGUCGGGUAAGUUCCGACCUGCACGAAUGGCGUAAUGAUGGCCAGGCUGUCUCCACCCGGGACUCAGUGAAAUUGAACUCGCUGUGAAGAUGCAGUGUACCCGCGGCAAGACGGAAAGACCCCGUGAACCUUUACUAUAGCUUGACACUGAACACUGGUCCUUGAUGUGCAGGAUAGGUGGGAGGCUUUGAAGUGUGGACGCCAGUCUGCAUGGAGCCGUCCUUGAAAUACCACCCUUUAAUGGCUGGUGUUCUAACGUAGACCCGUGAACCGGGUUGCGGACAGUGUCUGGUGGGUAGUUUGACUGGGGCGGUCUCCUCCUAAAGCGUAACGGAGGAGCACGAAGGUUGGCUAAUCCUGGUCGGACAUCAGGAGGUUAGUGCAAUGGCAUAAGCCAGCUUGACUGCGAGCGUGACGGCGCGAGCAGGUGCGAAAGCAGGUCAUAGUGAUCCGGUGGUUCUGAAUGGAAGGGCCAUCGCUCAACGGAUAAAAGGUACUCCGGGGAUAACAGGCUGAUACCGCCCAAGAGUUCAUAUCGACGGCGGUGUUUGGCACCUCGAUGUCGGCUCAUCACAUCCUGGGGCUGAAGUAGGUCCCAAGGGUAUGGCUGUUCGCCAUUUAAAGUGGUACGCGAGCUGGGUUUAGAACGUCGUGAGACAGUUCGGUCCCUAUCUGCCGUGGGCGCUGGAGAACUGAGGGGGGCUGCUCCUAGUACGAGAGGACCGGAGUGGACGCAUCACUGGUGUUCGGGUUGUCAUGCCAAUGGCACUGCCCGGUAGCUAAAUGCGGAAGAGAUAAGUGCUGAAAGCAUCUAAGCACGAAACUUGCCCCGAGAUGAGUUCUCCCUGAGACUACGAGUCUCCUGAAGGAACGUUGAAGACGACGACGUUGAUAGGCCGGGUGUGUAAGCGCAGCGAUGCGUUGAGCUAACCGGUACUAAUGAACCGUGAGGCUUAACCUU
Salmonella enterica subsp. arizonae is the source of this 2905-nucleotide ribosomal RNA. It matches the Rfam family "Bacterial large subunit ribosomal RNA". NCBI's taxonomy places the organism in Bacteria, Pseudomonadati, Pseudomonadota, Gammaproteobacteria, Enterobacterales, Enterobacteriaceae. The record is from Rfam.